This 472-nucleotide ribosomal RNA is filed under the name uncultured bacterium. RNAcentral's name for it is "bacterial SSU rRNA". It matches the Rfam family "Bacterial small subunit ribosomal RNA", at positions 23 to 490 of the family's 1533-position model. The record is from RNAcentral.
CUCAGAUUGAACGCUGGCGGCAGGCCUAACACAUGCAAGUCGAGCGGUAACAGAGAGUAGCUUGCUACUUUGCUGACGAGCGGCGGACGGGUGAGUAAUGCUUGGGAACAUGCCUUGAGGUGGGGGACAACAGUUGGAAACGACUGCUAAUACCGCAUAAUGUCUACGGACCAAAGGGGGCUUCGGCUCUCGCCUUUAGAUUGGCCCAAGUGGGAUUAGCUAGUUGGUGAGGUAAUGGCUCACCAAGGCGACGAUCCCUAGCUGGUUUGAGAGGAUGAUCAGCCACACUGGGACUGAGACACGGCCCAGACUCCUACGGGAGGCAGCAGUGGGGAAUAUUGCACAAUGGGCGCAAGCCUGAUGCAGCCAUGCCGCGUGUGUGAAGAAGGCCUUCGGGUUGUAAAGCACUUUCAGUCAGGAGGAAAGGUUAGUAGUUAAUACCUGCUAGCUGUGACGUUACUGACAGAAGAAU